GGAAUUCUUCGGGGCAGGGUGCUGCGGAUGACGCAUAUUCCCGACCGACGGUAUAGUCCGUGAACUGCUUUUUGCAGCCGAACCGGUGAGAUUCCGGUACCGACAGUAUAGUCUGGAUGAGAGAAGAAAAAG
RNAcentral lists this non-coding RNA (132 nucleotides) under Roseburia sp. CAG:18. Its description in RNAcentral is "FMN riboswitch aptamer (RFN element)". It matches the Rfam family "FMN riboswitch aptamer (RFN element)". From Rfam's summary of the family: The RFN element is a highly conserved domain that is found frequently in the 5'-untranslated regions of prokaryotic mRNAs that encode for flavin mononucleotide (FMN) biosynthesis and transport proteins. This element is a metabolite-dependent riboswitch that directly binds FMN in the absence of proteins. The record is from Rfam by way of RNAcentral. Lineage: Bacteria; Bacillati; Bacillota; Clostridia; Lachnospirales; Lachnospiraceae. RNAcentral also lists the same sequence under 1 other name.